Molecule: ribosomal RNA, 250 nt
Filed under: uncultured bacterium
Lineage: Bacteria
Description: partial 16S ribosomal RNA
Rfam family: Bacterial small subunit ribosomal RNA
Source: RNAcentral
UACAGAGGUGGCAAGCGUUGUUCGGAAUCACUGGGCUUAAAGGGCGCGCAGGCGGUCGGAAAGGUGUCCUGUGAAAUCCCUCGGCUUAACCGAGGAACUGCGGGACAAACCGUUCGACUUGAGGCAGGUAGGGGCCGAUGGAACUCUGGGUGGAGCGGUGAAAUGCGUAGAUAUCCAGGGGAACGCCAAUGGUGAAAACAGUCGGCUGGGCCUGUCCUGACGCUGAGGCGCGAAAGCCAGGGGAGCAAAC